AGAAAAGAUGGUAUGGUUGUUUUCAAGCUUACAAGAAUAUGCUAUUUUUCCUAUACUAAAAGUUUCUAAUUUGUCUUUCUGAAAGCUUGUAGUAUAUAUUUAUUUUGAAACAGAUGCUUGAAUUAGGUAACAAGGUCUCAGUUGUACUUAACGCCUGUAUUUAAUUGAAAAACCACUCCCAAUCUAACAAAGUUGCAAACCAUUGAAGGGUUUUAGUUUGAGUAUGUUUAGUAGAGACUUGUUAGAGGCUAGAAACUGUGUUCAAACAGAAGCAAUGGAUUUCAGAAAUUCAGAGCAUUGGACCAAUACACGUAUAAAAGCAUGAUAGCCUACCAAAUUUGAAUCCAUGGUUUCUAUCAAGGAUCAGGUAUCAUCUAUUAUCAGCAGCUGAUGUCAGUAUCAGAAAGCUCCUGUUGGAAGGGAAUAUGAAGGGAAAGCAGCCAGCACUUCUGGAGGCUGUGCCUUGCCUUCUGCAGAAGUAAACAACAACAAAAAUUUUCCAUUUGGUUGCUCUCCAGGCUUUUCAGAAGGUGGAAUCAGGCACCCAAACCAAUCUACCAUGGUACAAAUAUCAUCUCCUGGACAUUCUUGUUUCUUUUCACCAGCUGGGGAGGCUGAAUUGCAAAUUGAUGCUUGUACUUUUUUUUAGCUAGACGACACAUUGGUCUUAUGAUGCUGAUUAAAUGUGUUACCCCACACAUUCUUUCCGUUUUGGCAGCUGAGCCUUUGGAAUUCCCAAUCACUCUUCAGUCAGGAACCUUGGCAUUGUUUUAAAUUUGGGACUGAGCAAGGGCAGUAUUUAUAACACAUUGUUUGGGA
RNAcentral lists this long non-coding RNA (819 nucleotides) under Anas platyrhynchos platyrhynchos (common mallard). Its description in RNAcentral is "lncRNA (ENSAPLG00000018381.1)". Lineage: Eukaryota; Metazoa; Chordata; Aves; Anseriformes; Anatidae. The record is from RNAcentral.